GGAGUGAAAUAGAACCUGAAACCGUGUGCUUACAAGUAGUCAGAGCCCGUUAAUGGGUGAUGGCGUGCCUUUUGUAGAAUGAACCGGCGAGUUACGAUUUGAUGCAAGGUUAAGCAGUAAAUGUGGAGCCGUAGCGAAAGCGAGUCUGAAUAGGGCGUUUAGUAUUUGGUCGUAGACCCGAAACCAGGUGAUCUACCCUUGGUCAGGUUGAAGUUCAGGUAACACUGAAUGGAGGACCGAACCGACUUACGUUGAAAAGUGAGCGGAUGAACUGAGGGUAGCGGAGAAAUUCCAAUCGAACCUGGAGAUAGCUGGUUCUCUCCGAAAUAGCUUUAGGGCUAGCCUCAAGUGAUGAUUAUUGGAGGUAGAGCACUGUUUGGACGAGGGGCCCCUCUCGGGUUACCGAAUUCAGACAAACUCCGAAUGCCAAUUAAUUUAACUUGGGAGUCAGAACAUGGGUGAUAAGGUCCGUGUUCGAAAGGGAAACAGCCCAGACCACCAGCUAAGGUCCCAAAAUAUAUGUUAAGUGGAAAAGGAUGUGGCGUUGCCCAGACAACUAGGAUGUUGGCUUAGAAGCAGCCAUCAUUUAAAGAGUGCGUAAUAGCUCACUAGUCGAGUGACACUGCGCCGAAAAUGUACCGGGGCUAAACAUAUUACCGAAGCUGUGGAUUGUCCUUUGGACAAUGGUAGGAGAGCGUUCUAAGGGCGUUGAAGCAUGAUCGUAAGGACAUGUGGAGCGCUUAGAAGUGAGAAUGCCGGUGUGAGUAGCGAAAGACGGGUGAGAAUCCCGUCCACCGAUUGACUAAGGUUUCCAGAGGAAGGCUCGUCCGCUCUGGGUUAGUCGGGUCCUAAGCUGAGGCCGACAGGCGUAGGCGAUGGAUAACAGGUUGAUAUUCCUGUACCACCUAUAAUCGUUUUAAUCGAUGGGGGGACGCAGUAGGAUAGGCGAAGCGUGCGAUUGGAUUGCACGUCUAAGCAGUAAGGCUGAGUAUUAGGCAAAUCCGGUACUCAUUAAGGCUGAGCUGUGAUGGGGAGAAGACAUUGUGUCUUCGAGUCGUUGAUUUCACACUGCCGAGAAAAGCCUCUAGAUAGAAAAUAGGUGCCCGUACCGCAAACCGACACAGGUAGUCAAGAUGAGAAUUCUAAGGUGAGCGAGCGAACUCUCGUUAAGGAACUCGGCAAAAUGACCCCGUAACUUCGGGAGAAGGGGUGCUCUUUAGGGUUAACGCCCAGAAGAGCCGCAGUGAAUAGGCCCAAGCGACUGUUUAUCAAAAACACAGGUCUCUGCUAAACCGUAAGGUGAUGUAUAGGGGCUGACGCCUGCCCGGUGCUGGAAGGUUAAGAGGAGUGGUUAGCUUCUGCGAAGCUACGAAUCGAAGCCCCAGUAAACGGCGGCCGUAACUAUAACGGUCCUAAGGUAGCGAAAUUCCUUGUCGGGUAAGUUCCGACCCGCACGAAAGGCGUAACGAUUUGGGCACUGUCUCAACGAGAGACUCGGUGAAAUCAUAGUACCUGUGAAGAUGCAGGUUACCCGCGACAGGACGGAAAGACCCCGUGGAGCUUUACUGUAGCCUGAUAUUGAAAUUCGGCACAGCUUGUACAGGAUAGGUAGGAGCCUUUGAAACGUGAGCGCUAGCUUACGUGGAGGCGCUGGUGGGAUACUACCCUAGCUGUGUUGGCUUUCUAACCCGCACCACUUAUCGUGGUGGGAGACAGUGUCAGGCGGGCAGUUUGACUGGGGCGGUCGCCUCCUAAAAGGUAACGGAGGCGCUCAAAGGUUCCCUCAGAAUGGUUGGAAAUCAUUCAUAGAGUGUAAAGGCAUAAGGGAGCUUGACUGCGAGACCUACAAGUCGAGCAGGGUCGAAAGACGGACUUAGUGAUCCGGUGGUUCCGCAUGGAAGGGCCAUCGCUCAACGGAUAAAAGCUACCCCGGGGAUAACAGGCUUAUCUCCCCCAAGAGUUCACAUCGACGGGGAGGUUUGGCACCUCGAUGUCGGCUCAUCGCAUCCUGGGGCUGUAGUCGGUCCCAAGGGUUGGGCUGUUCGCCCAUUAAAGCGGUACGCGAGCUGGGUUCAGAACGUCGUGAGACAGUUCGGUCCCUAUCCGUCGUGGGCGUAGGAAAUUUGAGAGGAGCUGUCCUUAGUACGAGAGGACCGGGAUGGACAUACCUCUGGUGUACCAGUUGUCGUGCCAACGGCAUAGCUGGGUAGCUAUGUGUGGACGGGAUAAGUGCUGAAAGCAUCUAAGCAUGAAGCCCCCCUCAAGAUGAGAUUUCCCAACUUCGGUUAUAAGAUCCCUCAAAGAUGAUGAGGUUAAUAGGUUCGAGGUGGAAGCAUGGUGACAUGUGGAGCUGACGAAUACUAA
RNAcentral lists this ribosomal RNA (2364 nucleotides) under Staphylococcus aureus. RNAcentral's name for it is "partial 23S ribosomal RNA". It matches the Rfam family "Bacterial large subunit ribosomal RNA", at positions 535 to 2904 of the family's 2925-position model. Lineage: Bacteria; Bacillati; Bacillota; Bacilli; Caryophanales; Staphylococcaceae. The record is from RNAcentral.